This 118-nucleotide ribosomal RNA is filed under the name Luciogobius sp. 'hauchiwa-yari-mimizu-haze'. Its description in RNAcentral is "partial 16S ribosomal RNA". The record is from RNAcentral. Lineage: Eukaryota; Metazoa; Chordata; Actinopteri; Gobiiformes; Gobiidae.
ACCCCUCCCAACAGCUAGCCCCCCUCCCCAAAAUCAACAAACCCCAUUAAUACCCCCUCAUCAAGUAUAAAAAUAAGCAACAAACCAUUUUUCCUCCCUAGUAUAGGUGAUAGAAAAG